CUUUUUCUUUGGAAUUUGAAGCUAUUUGUGUUCUGCUUUUGUUCCUCUGAGUAUGCUCAGGAAUGGAGACGUAGCCCAUUUUGUGUUUAUCAUACAUUUGCUGUCUUCCUCUCUAUUGACAGCCUGGUACCUGAGGGCAGGUCGCUGGAUGGCGGUUUCUUACUGCCCUGCAGCUGGGGAAGGAGUUUGCAGCCCUUCUGCUGAGAACACAGGGCUGGGUCUGCAGCAACUAAAAAGACUGGAAGAUUUCUUCAAAUUCCUGCAUUGCUGUGAGCUGACACAAGGACACGGGGCUCCAUACGGUAACCAGCAGAUCUGCAGUGCAGGAGCUGGCAAUGUACACGUGUAAGGCUGGUAGCAUGGAGAAGUCCAUACAGGGAAUAGAAAAAAGAGGGAAAGUCCAUUUUUACAGGUAUUUCUGCACAACUAUUCCCAAAACCUUUUGGGGGGCAAUUUUUGUGUUUCAUUUGCUUGGAGAGCCUGACCUGGG
This 490-nucleotide long non-coding RNA is filed under the name Coturnix japonica (Japanese quail). Its description in RNAcentral is "lncRNA (ENSCJPG00005011367.1)". Lineage: Eukaryota; Metazoa; Chordata; Aves; Galliformes; Phasianidae. The record is from RNAcentral.